GACGGGGGGGGCAAGUGUUCUUCGGAAUGACUGGGCGUAAAGGGCACAUAGGCGGUGAAUCGGGUUGAAAGUGAAAGUCGCCCAAAAGUGGCGGAAUGCUCUCGAAACCAAUUCACUUGAGUGAGACAGAGGAGAGUGGAAUUUCGUGUGUAGGGGGUGAAAUCCGUAGAUCUACGAAGGAACGCCAAAAGCGAAGGUAGCUCUCUGGGUCCCUACCGACGCUGGGGUGCGAAAGCAUGGGGAGCGAACAGG
This 252-nucleotide ribosomal RNA is filed under the name uncultured bacterium. RNAcentral's name for it is "partial 16S ribosomal RNA". It matches the Rfam family "Bacterial small subunit ribosomal RNA", at positions 524 to 776 of the family's 1533-position model. The record is from RNAcentral.